UCUUGUGCAGGUGCUAUGGAAACUUCAAGCAACUCCCAUCCCGGGACUGGACUCAGUGAUAUUUAAGUUACACAGGGAUUUCCAGACAAGCAUGGGCUUCAUGAAGCAGUCCUGUCUGAAAAAAUAUAUAAGGAAGAUUAGUAAAAUAGAAAUGUCAAGCAUGAUGGCACAUACUAUAAUUUCAGCGUUCAGAGGAAGGCUAAUGCAGACGACUGACUUUGCUUUUCAUCUGCUACUUUAUGGGCGAUGCCCCCAAUAG
RNAcentral lists this long non-coding RNA (259 nucleotides) under Mus spicilegus (steppe mouse). RNAcentral describes it as "lncRNA (ENSMSIG00000005390.1)". Lineage: Eukaryota; Metazoa; Chordata; Mammalia; Rodentia; Muridae. The record is from RNAcentral.